GGAAUAUGAAGGGAGAAUGAAACAAAACUGCUCCGCUCAGGGAACUUAGAAAUUGAAAAGGCAAGGCACAGGCUGGAAGAAAAUAUUUGAAAAAGAUUUAUGUGACAAAGAACUUCUUUCUGGAUUAUACAAAAUAUUUUUAGAUAUUCUUACAACUCUAAAAUAAGAUAACUCCUUAAAAAUGUGAAUUCUACCAAAGGAGAGAUAAAGAUGACAAAUACAGUCAAAGAUGCUGAAAAUCGCUUAUUUAUUAUUGGGAAGUUACAAGCUACAGCAUAAUGAGAUACCACUACAACCUACUAAACUGACUAAAAUUAAUCAGACUAACCAGGUGUUGGCAAGAAACAGGGACACUGAGACUCUCACACUGCUGGAAGGAAUGUAAAAUGCUAAAAUUUCUUUGGAAACGAGUUCAGUAACUUUUUAAACAGUUGAAAAUAGACCUAUCAUGCAAACCAGCAACCCCACUUCUAGGUAUUUAUCCAAGGAAAAUGACAACAUAUGCCCACACAAAGACUUGUGCACAAAUGACUGUAGCAGCUUUGUGGUAAUUGCUAAAAACUAGAAACUUGUCAAGUGUCCAACAGUCUAUACGAGUCUCUUUGACACAAGUCUCUUUGGUACAGAUGAAGACCAGAGAGCUUGGGAGUCACUUCUGAAGAGAAGAGUGAAUGAGUAAACAAACGUGGAUGAGGCAAACAAAGAACAUACCAAAUGUCAGGAUUCAGAUGGGACUGCUGUAUGAUGUUAAUGAACACAGAGAUCUGGAGAAACCAUGUCAAAGCUUUCCGAGAGAGACCGGGAACAAUACCUGGGGAACACCAAAAA
This 828-nucleotide non-coding RNA is filed under the name Pongo abelii (Sumatran orangutan). The record is from RNAcentral. Lineage: Eukaryota; Metazoa; Chordata; Mammalia; Primates; Hominidae.